This 253-nucleotide ribosomal RNA is filed under the name uncultured bacterium. Its description in RNAcentral is "partial 16S ribosomal RNA". It matches the Rfam family "Bacterial small subunit ribosomal RNA", at positions 524 to 776 of the family's 1533-position model. The record is from RNAcentral.
UACGUAGGGUGCAAGCGUUGUCCGGAAUUAUUGGGCGUAAAGGGCUCGUAGGCGGUCCAUCGCGUCGGGUGUGAAAAGCUGGGGCUUAACCCCAGUCCUGCUUCCGAUACGGGUGGACUAGAGGUAGGUAGGGGAGAUCGGAAUUCCUGGUGUAGCGGUGAAAUGCGCAGAUAUCAGGAGGAACACCGGUGGCGAAGGCGGAUCUCUGGGCCUUACCUGACGCUGAGGAGCGAAAGCAUGGGGAGCAAACAGG